Long non-coding RNA from Pangasianodon hypophthalmus (striped catfish), 1079 nucleotides. RefSeq lists it as uncharacterized. The record is from RefSeq and is a predicted model, not a curated record. Lineage: Eukaryota; Metazoa; Chordata; Actinopteri; Siluriformes; Pangasiidae. The transcript has 3 exons.
CUUUGGAUCUUAUCUUUUUUCUACUCAGGUAUGCCAGGGCAAAAACUACUAAGAACUCCCUUCUCCCUCACACAGCCACACACUGGGUCCAUUGUCUGGCGGUGGGCGCCUUGUGAUCAGUGCCCUGAGCUGGUGUCCCAUCCAGACUAUAUUCCCACCCCACACCCAGUGCUGCUGGGAUCCACUGUGACCAUGAUCAGGAUAAAGUGAAUACUGAAAGCUCAAGAAGUUCAGACCAGGAGGCUUUGUGGACUGGGUUCAAGCCAGCAAAAAGGUUCAGUGGGGUAAAGCAAGGACAGGGACCGGACUUUUUCCCUCUCUUUCCCUUCAAUACACACACACACACACACACACCACUGUGCAUUACCCCUGAAAAAGCAAUAGAAAGAAAAACAGGAAAGCAAAGGCUUUAUUAGUUAAACAUCUCGUAUCUUGCCAAAUAUGAAGCACAUGUCCACAAAGCAUACACGUCACAAUACAUAAUAGUCCAAACAUAAUCCCUCACAGGAAAACACUACUUUUUAAUAGCCAUUUGCCAGCUAUCAAAAAACAUAAUGUUGAAAUAGGUUCUUCUAUUUUCUUAAGUUUUUUUUUCUUUUGAAAAUUGUCCUCCUUGCUUGCAAACCUGUUAAUUAAUGAUAAAUGAAUGAUAAAGAAAUUUGGAGCACCCAAGAUACACUUUUUGCAAAUAUUGAGCAUCAUUUAUCAAGCAGGAUAUGAACGGAUUUAUUCAUAAAUUAUUCAUAUGAGCAUUUACACAAGAAAUCUGGUAGUCAUGAAAAGUCCUGUAAAUUAAAAAAAAAAUGGUACCUUACUCAAGCUCCUGAGUGUGUGUAAAUUUACAUAUAAGAAGACUAACUAAUGUAAACCUCCACAUGAUUGACUUUAAAUCAUAUAAUUUACAUGGAUUACUUUAAUAUAUGGAAUAUACUGUCAAAGUUUAAUUGCAUAUUUUAAUAUAUUUACAGCAUUUAGUAGACACACUUAUCCAGAGUUUUACUCUGCCUUUGGUCUCAGAUCAGUGCCCACAUUGGUACCACAUCAUUUAUAGCAUUCACAGAACUGAAGCUAUAUGCAAC